Long non-coding RNA from Micropterus salmoides (largemouth bass), 281 nucleotides. RefSeq lists it as uncharacterized. The transcript has 3 exons. NCBI's taxonomy places the organism in Eukaryota, Metazoa, Chordata, Actinopteri, Centrarchiformes, Centrarchidae. The record is from RefSeq and is a predicted model, not a curated record.
GUUUCUUCUUCUCCUUUGUAGACUUACAUUGGACACAUCCUUCUGCUGGUCAAUCCAAACAAAGAGCUGCCCAUCUACUCCACUUUGGUGAGCCAGUUGUACCUGAGCUCCACAGGUCGUCUGUGCUCCUCUCUGCCUCCUCACAUCUUCUCCUCAGCAGAAAGAGCUUACCACAUGAUGCUGCAGGAGAGACGCCCGCAGUGUUUUAUCUUGAGUGGCGAAAGUGGUUCUGGGAAAACAGAGGCCUCUAAGCACAUAGUGAGACACUUGACAGCCCGCUC